This 1084-nucleotide ribosomal RNA is filed under the name Psychrobacter sp. Its description in RNAcentral is "bacterial SSU rRNA". It matches the Rfam family "Bacterial small subunit ribosomal RNA", at positions 397 to 1469 of the family's 1533-position model. The record is from RNAcentral. Lineage: Bacteria; Pseudomonadati; Pseudomonadota; Gammaproteobacteria; Moraxellales; Moraxellaceae.
CCGCGUGUGUGAAGAAGGCCUUUUGGUUGUAAAGCACUUUCAGCAGGUGAAGAAGAGCUAACGGUUAAUACCCGGUUAGCGAUGACAUUAGCUGCAGAAUAAGCACCGGCUAACUCUGUGCCAGCAGCCGCGGUAAUACAGAGGGUGCAAGCGUUAAUCGGAAUUACUGGGCGUAAAGCGAGCGAUAGGUGGCUUGAUAAGUCAGAUGUGAAAUCCCCGGGCUUAACCUGGGAACUGCAUCUGAUACUGUUAAACUAGAGUAGGGGAGAGGGAAGUAGAAUUCCAGGUGUAGCGGUGAAAUGCGUAGAGAUCUGGAGGAAUACCGAUGGCGAAGGCAGCUUCCUGGCAUCAUACUGACACUGAUGCUCGAAAGCGUGGGUAGCAAACAGGAUUAGAUACCCUGGUAGUCCACGCCGUAAACGAUGUCUACUAGUCGUUGGGUCCCUUGAGGACUUAGUGACGCAGCUAACGCAAUAAGUAGACCGCCUGGGGAGUACGGCCGCAAGGUUAAAACUCAAAUGAAUUGACGGGGGCCCGCACAAGCGGUGGAGCAUGUGGUUUAAUUCGAUGCAACGCGAAGAACCUUACCUGGUCUUGACAUACACAGAAUCUUGUAGAGAUACGAGAGUGCCUUCGGGAAUUGUGAUACAGGUGCUGCAUGGCUGUCGUCAGCUCGUGUCGUGAGAUGUUGGGUUAAGUCCCGCAACGAGCGCAACCCUUGUCCUUAGUUACCAGCGGGUUAAGCCGGGAACUCUAAGGAUACUGCCAGUGACAAACUGGAGGAAGGCGGGGACGACGUCAAGUCAUCAUGGCCCUUACGACCAGGGCUACACACGUGCUACAAUGGUAGGUACAGAGGGCAGCUACGCAGCGAUGUGAUGCUAAUCUCACAAAGCCUAUCGUAGUCCAGAUUGGAGUCUGCAACUCGACUCCAUGAAGUAGGAAUCGCUAGUAAUCGCGGAUCAAAUGCCACGGUGAAUACGUUCCCGGGGCCUUGUACACACCGCCCGUCACACCAUGGGAGUUGAUUGCACCAGAAGUGGUUAGCCUAACCUUUUAGGAAAGCGAUCACCACUGUGUGGUU